AACGCGAAGAACCUUACCUGGGCUCGAACGGCUGGUUAACGAUCGUGGAAACACGGUUACUCCGCAAGGGGAUCCAGUCGAGGUGCUGCAUGGCUGUCGUCAGCUCGUGUCGUGAGAUGUUGGGUUAAGUCCCGCAACGAGCGCAACCCUUGUCCUGUGUUGCCAUGCCGAAAGGCGGAACUCGCAGGAGACCGCCAGCGAUAAGCUGGAGGAAGGUGGGGAUGACGUCAAGUCCUCAUGGCCUUUAUGUCCAGGGCUACACACGUGCUACAAUGGCCGGUACAAAGCGCUGCUAAGUCGCAAGACGGAGCCAAUCGCAAAAAACCGGUCUCAGUUCGGAUUGCAGGCUGCAACUCGCCUGCAUGAAGCUGGAAUCGCUAGUAAUGGCGGAUCAGAACGCCGCCGUGAAUACGUUCCCGGGCCUUGUA
RNAcentral lists this ribosomal RNA (428 nucleotides) under uncultured Acidobacterium sp. RNAcentral's name for it is "bacterial SSU rRNA". It matches the Rfam family "Bacterial small subunit ribosomal RNA", at positions 958 to 1385 of the family's 1533-position model. Lineage: Bacteria; Pseudomonadati; Acidobacteriota; Terriglobia; Terriglobales; Acidobacteriaceae. The record is from RNAcentral.